AUUGAACGCUGGCGGCAGGCCUAACACAUGCAAGUCGAACGGUAACAGGAAGCAGCUUGCUGCUUUGCUGACGAGUGGCGGACGGGUGAGUAAUGUCUGGGAAACUGCCUGAUGGAGGGGGAUAACUACUGGAAACGGUAGCUAAUACCGCAUAACGUCGCAAGACCAAAGAGGGGGACCUUCGGGCCUCUUGCCAUCGGAUGUGCCCAGAUGGGAUUAGCUAGUAGGUGGGGUAACGGCUCACCUAGGCGACGAUCCCUAGCUGGUCUGAGAGGAUGACCAGCCACACUGGAACUGAGACACGGUCCAGACUCCUACGGGAGGCAGCAGUGGGGAAUAUUGCACAAUGGGCGCAAGCCUGAUGCAGCCAUGCCGCGUGUAUGAAGAAGGCCUGCGGGUUGUAAAGUACUUUCAGCGGGGAGGAAGGGAGUAAAGUUAAUACCUUUGCUCAUUGACGUUACCCGCAGAAGAAGCACCGGCUAACUCCGU
Molecule: ribosomal RNA, 489 nt
Filed under: uncultured bacterium
Lineage: Bacteria
Description: partial 16S ribosomal RNA
Rfam family: Bacterial small subunit ribosomal RNA
Source: RNAcentral